RNAcentral lists this small RNA (534 nucleotides) under Histoplasma ohiense. RNAcentral describes it as "hypothetical lncRNA". The record is from RNAcentral. Lineage: Eukaryota; Fungi; Ascomycota; Eurotiomycetes; Onygenales; Ajellomycetaceae.
CUCUCUCUCUCUCUCUCUCUCUCUCUCUCUCUCUCUCUUUUCCCUGUUGGUGAGGACAAUAAUAGCAUGCCCACAUACCCAAUAUCAUCUUUUCUGCUAGUUUGCUGGCUGAAAUCAGCUGCACUCCGAAUCGACGAUUGAAUUAUUGAUACUAAAAGAAAACCCCACACAAACAAGCAACCCGGAUAAAUGAGGGGACAUAGGAGCAGCAAGAGCACAGUACAAGUCGAAAAUAAAACACGCCUCCAGUUAUACUAGGAAGAGACAUGGGGAUGCAACAGUGCCGCUCCGCUGGCUGGCCAAAUGGUACUGUAAAUUGGCUCGCGGGGUUGGAAAAAGCCCAAACACACCACCGACGUGUCCCAUACCAUAACAUGUAAGUAAGUGUAUGGAAGUGUGUAGUAUGUAUAACUGCCAGUGCGUAUGUUGGAGUUGAUCAAUGUCAAAUCGCCAGUUUGGGGCUGUAUUUAUAUUUAUCAGUAAAUAGGAAAUGUUGAUGCGCUUGUGAAUAGAGAAGUGUUGUUAAAUAGAGCA